AAACAACCCCUUAGUCUGUGGUAGGUCAUCUUAUUAGUAAUAUAUAGGUACGUGGUGUUAGAAAAUUGCGUACGGUAAAAACGCAGCGGAAAAAGAAAUCAAACAAAUUUGAUUUUAAAACUCUCGAGAUCUAAUCUCAAAACCACGCAAUUAGGAUCCCUCAUGUUCUUUAAGAUUAAAGGAGAAAAGUAAGAUCGAAUCAUUACCUUUUUCGCGGAUAAAUCCUUCCCUCAAUUUGAUGAUCGUGGAAUCGGGUUCUCUUGAAGCCGCACACGCGUCCGGCCUCUAUAGGUAUCCACACGAGGUUCUUGAUUUGAUCGAUGUCCUCACCGGGAUGCUAGCUCCCUUGCAAAAGGACGUCUUUGUUGCUAGAAGAUGGAAGAGAGAAGAGAGGAUAGAUGACGGCUUCUGUUUUCUCAAAACUCCCGUAUAUUAUAUAUAGGAAUAUAAUCCUAUUCCUAAUAAUAUAAUGACAAUUAAGGAUAAAUAUAAAUCUAGAUUUAAAUUUAUCUUUUCCUUAAUUGGUUAGAUCGAUCAAAUCCUAAUUUGAUUCGACUUGAAUUUUAUAUUAAUUUGAUCUUAUCAAAUUAAUAAUGCAACAUUUGCACAUAAGUCCUCUUAUAAUUUACUAACUAUUAGUACGUCCUCUCUAGUAACAUUUACACUUUAAUACCACUAAUUUGUAACAAUUACAAAUUAGUUCAAUUAUCAACAUAUUGACAAUUAGGUCCUCCGACGAUUCAAUAAUCGCAAUCUAGCUAUCCGAUCAAUCACAACCUCUUAUGUGUGUGACCCCAUAGGUUCUAUUCUAUCUGGUAGUGAGAUAUAUUUUGAUCACUAUCAACAAUAUCACUGAAACUCCUUUCAGUGGAUCGGAACAAUUCCAACUCAGCCCAAUGAGAAUUAUCGAUCAUCUAGAUAAUUCUCAUGAGUCUCACAAUCCACCAGUGACGCCUAGCAGCAUGUAGUGGCAUUCCAGUAGAAUGGAAUACUGAACCUCUUGGUGCAGUUACCGUGUGAUACAAUCCUUCUAUCAUGAGUCCCGACUAGACGGAGGUUAUGGAAUAACUCGUCAAACCCCAUCGUCUGUCAUAUGUUAAAUUUAUUCGACUCGAGUUUCUAAUAUCGGAAACCCUUUUCCGCUAUUUAUUCUGCCCUGGCCAAGGUCUUCUAAACUCGGUCUCAUAAAUCACAUAGGACUAACACCCCUAUCUACCAAGGGAGAUAGAUUCCAUCUAAGUGCGCACCCUAUUCCUACAAUGAACCUACUGCAGCCAACAUGCACCGCAAGGACCCGAAUGGCUAGGGACCAAGUGUAUGUACAGUCAAACUACAGUAACCUCAUUGUGAAUAGCCGAGGCACCGCAGGUCAAAGGACCAGUCACACUACUGCAACAAUUGAGUAAGUCACUGACGAGUGAGUAGACAUCCAAGUGACUUCUCGCGUUGGUCACGCUCGGUACCCUUGUUCUCUAACAACCACCUGCAUAUUCGCUUCAGUGUCCCCACACUGUCGACUCGAGACUCGUCUACCCAAAAGGGAAGCGACCUAUGCACCAAUCUCACUGGAUCAAUCACCGUCCCCGUGAUGAUCCAUUGAUCGGGAGCAUUUAGGAAUUAAUCACCAAUGACACAUGUCUCAAAUUCUCAACACUUGAGAAUAUAUGUCAUCAUCUUAUUAAUUCCUUGGACGAUUCAUGGACACAUACACAACAUGAAUGGAAAUAAAAACCCAAAGUUAUUCAUAAUAUUUUAAAGUCAAAUACAAAAUUAUGUCCUAGAAAGAAUACAUGUGUCGGCCUGGUUGGCUUCUAGGGCAUACAUCUAACAAUCUCCCACUUGCACUAAAGCCAAUCAGCCAUAUACCUAAGCCCCAUCUUCUCAAGGUGGACUUCAGUCUUCUACUGGCUAAGUGGUUUAAUCAAUGGGUCUGCCACGUUAUCCGUGGAGUCUACUCUCUGCAUCUCGAUUUAUUUCUGUCGAGAUAGUCGUGUAUAAUAUGAAACCACCGCUCUAUAUGCUUGAACUUCUGAUGAGACCUGGGCUCCUUAGCUAAGGCUAUGGCGCCAUUUUUGUCGCAAUAGAGUGGUAUGGCAUCCGAUGACAUCACACUUAAUUCCAUGACAAACUUCAUGUAUCAGAAGACCUACAUCAAAUGCGGCGAUAUACUCUGCUUCCAUAGUAGAGUCAGCAAUAAUUGGUUGUUUGGAACUCUUCCAAUACAUCAAACCACUAUCGCAUAAGAACACACAUCCGACGUAGACUUUCUAUCGUCAACAUCAGACAUAAAGUCUGAAUCAGUAUAUCCUUUUACUUUCAACUCUUUUUCUCCAAAGAUCAAGAACAUAUCCUUAGUGCUUCCCAAGUACUUGAGUAUGUUCUUCACAGCAAUCCAGUGCUCAUCGCCUGGAUUAGAUUGAUAUCUACUUGUGACACUCACAGCAAGCUCGAUAUCAGGUCGUGUACACAGCAUGGUGUAUAUAAGACUCCCUAAAGCUGAGGCAAUAAGGGAUCUUACUCAUACGUUGAAUCUCUUCAAAUGUAUUGGGGCACAUUUUCUUAGAGAGAUAAAUUCCAUGUGUAAGAGGUAAAAGUCCUAUUUUGGAGUUUUUUAUGCCGAACCUCUUCAGCAUCUCCUCUAUGUACAUUUUCUGUGAGAGGCCCAGCAUCCUUUUAGAUCUAUCUCUAUAGACCUUUAUCCCCAAAAUAUAGGAUGCUUCUCCUAGAUCUUUUAUGGAGAAUUCUUUAGACAACCGUAUUUUAACUGAAGUCAGCAUUGGAAUGUCAAUCCCAAUUAAGAGAAUGUCAUCCACGUACAAUACGAGGAAUGUGACAGCUCUCCCACUGACCUUUUUAUAAACACAUGGCUCCUCCUCAUUCUUAACGAAAUCAAACGAUUUAAUCACGUUAUCGAAACGAGUAUUCCAAGUCCGAGAUGCUUGCUUAAGUCCAUAAAUGGACCGUUGCAACUUGCAUACUUUGUGACUUUCGUCACCGGAAGUGAAACCCAAAGGCUGCUCCAUAUAGAUAUCUUCUUCAAGAUAUCCAUUUAGAAAUGCAGUUUUCACAUCCAUUUGCCACAUCUCAUAAUCAUAGUAUGCUGCAAGGGCAAGCAGUGUUCAAAUGGAUUUAAGCAUGGCCACAGGUGAAAGGGUCUCCUGAUAGUCAAUGCCUUCGCGUUGACUAUAACCUUUUGCAACCAGCCUUGCUUUAUAGGUCUCUAUCUUUCCAUCCGAACCUAUCUUUCUUUUAUAGAUCCAUUUACACCCAAUAGGUACUAUACCUUCUGGUGGGUCUACCAAAAUUCAAACCUGGUUGGAAUGCAUUGAGUCAAUUUCUGACUUCAUGGCAUCCAGCCAUUUCUCGGAAUCGAUGUCAGACAUCGCCUGGUUGUAGGUUUUGGGAUCAUCUCCAUGUUCCCUAUCUCCCAUGGGGAACAUUUCCUCUACUACCUCUAUAACGAUACCUAAGUAUCUUUUAGUGGGAUGGGAGAUUCUACUCGACCUACGAAGUGGAGGAGGUACAACAUGUACUGGCUCAGCUUGAAUAGGUUCUGUAGGUUUGAUGACUCGUUGCUCUUUAGAGACUCUCUCUUCGAGCUCAAUUUUUCUCCCACUAGCUUCUUGAAUAAACUGUUUUUCCAAGAAAAUAGCAUGUUUGCUCACAACUAUAUUGUGCUUCUCUGGGAUAUAAAAAUAGUAACCUAAAGUUUCUUUAGGAUAUCCAAUAAAACGAGCCCUCUCAGACCUAGCCUCUAACUUGUCCACCUGUAGUCGCUUAACAUAGGCCGGACAUCUCCAAAUCUUGAUAUGACCAAGGCUUGGUUUCAUACCAUGCCACAUCUCAUAAGUCGUAGUAGGAACGGUUUUAGAGGGAACUCUAUUUAACAAAUAAGCUGCGGUAAGCAAAAUAUGUCCCCAAAGAAAUAAAGGAAGAUCAGUGAAGCUCACCAUAGAUCGAACCAUAUCCAAUAAGGUUCGGUUUCUCCGUUCUGACACACCGUUGAGUUGAGGUGUUCCCGGAGGAGUCCACUGUGAGACUAUGCCGUUUUCUUUAAGAUAAUUUAGAAAUUCUCCACUAAGGUAUUCUCCUCCUCGAUCUGAUCGAAGAACCUUAAUGGAUUUUUCAGUUUGCUUUUCUACUUCAUAUCUGAAUUCUUUGAACUUUUCAAAAGCCUCAGAUUUGUGUUUCUAAGAUACACAUACCCAUAUCGAGAAUAAUCAUCGGUAAAGGUUAUGAAGUAGAGAUAACCACCCCUAGCAUGCACAUCAAAUGGCCCACACACAUCAGUGUGUAUUAAGGAAAGUAUCUCAGUGGCCCUUUCCCCUUGUCCUACAAAGGGUAAUUUAGUCAAUUUUCCUUGAAGACAAGAUUCACAAACUGGAUAAGACUCUGAAGUCAAUAAGCCGAGAAGCCCAUCUUUAUCCAAUUUAUUGAUCCUUUCUUCUUCAAUAUGACCAAGCCUGAGGUGCCACAUAUACUUUAGGUUCAUCUCAUCUCUAGGUCUCUUAGACCCAACAGCAGUCACUACUUGCUCAGAAAUAUUUAUAGAUACAUCCAUAUGUAAAUGAUAAAGACUGUCAAUUAUAAAACCACAGCCAAUAAUUUUAUUUCUAAAAUAAAUUAUGCAGUAGUUUUUGUCAAAAUUAAACCAUCCUAUGCAGAAAUCAAAUUUCUGCUAGCAGGAGGUACAUAAUUGCAGUCUUUAAGUAACAAAUCCUGACGGUAGUCGCAAAGGAGAGGUGUCAGCAGCCACAGUAGCAACUCUUGCUCUGUUGCCUAUCCGUAGGGUCACAUCACCUUCCCUAAGCCCUCUACUUUCUCUUUCUGGAAGUAGAGGAAACCGUUAGUUUCUAUUACGAGCAAGUCUGACAUACCUUCCGAAGGUGUGUCCUUCCUCUUAUUCUUUAAGCUCUCCAGGUAGACAGGACAGUUCCUCUUCCAAUGGCCGUCAACAUUGCAGUGGAAACAUUUUCCUUUGUCGGCGGCCUUAUUCUUAGAAGCUUCCUUCUUUGGCUUGUUCUCCGUCUUUUGUUUCUUCGCGGGUUUCUUCUUCCAAUUAGACUUUCUUUUGGAAGAGGAAGCUCGCUCCACAGCGAGAACCGUGCCUUUUGAACUUUUCAAAGUCCCCUCUAUUAUUGCCAACAUGUUCAAUAACUCUGCAUUGGUGCAGUCAAUUUUAUUCAUAUGGUAGUUUACAAUAAACUGUUCAUAUGAUACAGGAAGGGAGCAGGAUCAGAUCAACUUGCAAUUCCUUAUCCAUUUUACGCCAAGCUUCUCAAGCUCCUCGAGGUCUAUGAUCAUUGUCAAACAAUGAUCAUGAACAGACUGCCCUUCUGUUAGUUAUUGGACGGUUUGGCAACGUGAGGUUUACCUGGUCGAGAACAAUGCAGAGUUUAUUGGAAUUUAAAACUAUUUUUAAAUUCCUUAGCCAGUCUUUAUAAUUAAUUUCAGUUAAGGAUUUUAUGUCGAGAACAUGAGAGAGAUAAUUGGAAGCAGUCAUUUACUUUGCAAAGAGUAAAGAUUCAAGUUAGAUAUUUGUAUUUGUUUUGAAAAAUUGUUUUAGGGAUUUUAAAAACAAAUUUAACCUCCCACUAUUUUCUCGAGUCUCUUACACUCCUCGGGUAGAGAAACGAAAACCCAACACGACAAGAGGUUUCAAGUGGGUACUGCGGUCCCACCAAUUUAAUGUACCACCUCACCUAACAGUUAUUGGUGAUAUGCAAACCGAUGAGUGGACAACUCUUGUCCAAUGCUUCUCAAGCAAAUUGCAGUGAUCGGUCUCUAAGUCCUGUAGGCCUCACCUGACAGUUAUUGGCCUCAUUCCUUAGUUAAGUCAGACCCACCGUUCAAACGCGUAAGCAAAGCCGUCAUUGGGUCCCUCACCUGACAGUUAUUGGGCCCAACCCCAUCUUUACUCCGCAGCAUCUCAUGCUAAUAGAGUGGUUGCGAAUUCCCGAUGCAACUGACCACUGUAACCAGCCGUGCCAAUCAACACCAUAAAAGCGCCCGCACUUCUACAACGGCGGAAGACCGCUCGACUUAAUAUUUAUGAGGAGGUUAAUAUUUAGGUCUCAAAAAAUAUUUUAUUUAUUUACAUCUAAUGCAAAUAAAAUAAAAAAUCAAUCCGCGCAAACAAGCAUAAUUAAACUGGUGAUGAUCAUGGAUCUUAGAAGUGGAUUCGAACUCGAGCCACUGAGUCGGAAUCGGGGUCUUCGGGUCAUAAUUACAAGCACACACACGUCAUUGGUUUGAUUGUCUUCAACUUCUUGAUUCGAUCUGAAGCUUCAACUUGAUCCGAUCCUUAUCAACACCUUGAUCCGACCGCCAUCAAGUAUUCGUCACUAUCCGGGCCUUGCGAACUUUUAGGCUUGCAACCGAUCAACCAAUGACGUGCAACCAUACAUUAUACAACCCAAUAAUAAAAAUGAAAUAAAAUUUAAUUACAUUUGAUAACUUUUAUCUCUAACCUAUUGAGACAUGCAGGUCUCCAAAUAAAUCGGCUUGUGCACGCAGGCACAAAAAUAGCCAUCUCUAAUACAAAGUCCUUAAUUUAAACAAAUUUAAAAUUACAGGAUUCUGCAUACACAUCAUACAUCACAUGUCGAAAUAUAAAUAGGUCGCUAUCCAUGAUCAUCACCGAUAUGUAUCUCAUACAUCACAUAUAAAUAAAAAAUUUUGGGUAUUUUAAUUAACCGUUAAUCGAUAAUUCGAAAAAUAAUAGUGACUAAUCACUAAAACAAUUAAUCUAAUUAAUCGUUUAUAAUCUUGAUCAAAAAUUUAAUCGUCAAAAAUAACAACUUGAUCUCAUCAAGAUUUGAUCUAAUCAAAUUAGAUUUUUCUUUUUCUUUUAUUUAAAAAUUGAAUUGAUCUAAUCAAUUUAGAAAAAAAAAAAAAAAUUUUAAAAAAAAGCAAAAAAAAUUUUUUGACGUCCAUACGGACGCUACAGUAGCGUCCGUACGGAUGCUACAGUAAUUGCUACAGUAACCUUUUUUUUUUUUUUUUUUUUUUUUGAAAACGAGAAACCGUGGAUUAAAUUGUUCGAUCAAUUUGAUUUUACGAAUCAUCCAAACAACGAUCUAUAAAUCGUUCGAUCGGCGAAAAACGGUUUAGAAUACCCAAAAUCAUAAUUUUAAUCUUAAAAACAUGAGGAUGGCUCUGAUACCACUGUUAGAAAAUCGCGUACGGUAAAAACGCAGCGGAAAAAGAAAUCAAACAAAUUUGAUUUUAAAACUCUCGAGAUCUAAUCUCAAAACCACGCAAUUAGGAUCCCUCAUGUUCUUUAAGAUUAAAGGAGAAAAGUAAGAUCGAAUCAUUACCUUUUUCGCGGAUAAAUCCUUCCCUCAAUUUGAUGAUCGUGGAAUCGGGUUCUCUUGAAGCCGCACACGCGUCCGGCCUCUAUAGGUAUCCACACGAGGUUCUUGAUUUG
RNAcentral lists this long non-coding RNA (7429 nucleotides) under Ananas comosus (pineapple). Its description in RNAcentral is "long non-coding RNA (ACOM_LNC025196)". The record is from RNAcentral. Lineage: Eukaryota; Viridiplantae; Streptophyta; Magnoliopsida; Poales; Bromeliaceae.